CUCAUCUGCUUCGUUCAGGGGUAAAAGCAGUGAUUAGCAGCCUCAGCCUGCCUCGCCAUCCCUCUCUCCUUAACUGGUCCUGUUUCUAGCUCCCUUUCUCCUCCCACCCUCACCUGGGUGCAUGACGGACUCCCCUGGCGCACAGCUGUGCUCCAUGCACUUGAGGAACAGAAUUAUGUACAGUCACGAGGCGACAGCAUGAAAGGUCAGAAACAAAGGAAGAGGGUCUGCGGAGGAGCCCGCCCCCAACCCAGGCUGCAGCUGGGGCUGCUGCAGGUGGGUAGCCAGGGAAGCGGGGUGGGCCCGGCCACCUGCUCUUCAAUAAAGGCCAGGGUGGCCACUACAGACUUGAGAGACAUGAAAACCAAAUGCCAUUAACGUUGAUACUGAUUCAAACAAACCCAUCUGUCAAAAAACAAACAAAAACACGCAGCUUUGAGAAAAACGGAAAGAUUAGAAUAUGGAUGGGGUAUUAGGGAAAAUUAUGAAAUUGUUAAUUUGUUAAGUGUUAUGACAACAAGGUGGUUAUAUAUCUAUUUGUUUUGUUUUUGUUUUUGGCAGGGGGGAAGCAGGCGCUCAACCACUGAGCUACAUCUGCUCCCUAAUGAGAGCUGGUUUUUCCAUUUGUUUUUAGGAGGUACCAGGGAUUGAACCCAGAACCUUGGAUGUGGGAAGCAGGUGCUCAACUACUUGAGCUAUAUCUGCUCCCCAAAUGAUUUUUAACAAAGGUACAAAAAUAAUUCAAUGGAGAGAAGGUAGCCUUUUCAACAAAGGGUGCUGCUUUGAUUGGACAUCCACAGACCAAAAAAAAAAGAAACUUGACCUAAACCUCACACCUUAUAUAAAGUAGCUCAAAAUGGAUCACAGACUGAA
RNAcentral lists this long non-coding RNA (873 nucleotides) under Dasypus novemcinctus (nine-banded armadillo). RNAcentral's name for it is "lncRNA (ENSDNOG00000051336.1)". Lineage: Eukaryota; Metazoa; Chordata; Mammalia; Cingulata; Dasypodidae. The record is from RNAcentral.